This 363-nucleotide long non-coding RNA is filed under the name Androctonus crassicauda. The record is from RNAcentral. Lineage: Eukaryota; Metazoa; Arthropoda; Arachnida; Scorpiones; Buthidae.
AAUGAGGUUUCAGCUCCAUAUGCUCUCCGACUGUUUGGGUACAUAAAAACCCAUAAAACCCCGCCGACAAUAAGACUGAUGGUUGAUAAAAAGUCGUCGCCAGUAUAUGCGCUAGAGAAAGCUGUGGCCAAAUGGGUGGUGAGCCACCUAGUAGGAUACCAGUACACUGUUAAUUCAUCACUGGCGUUUUUAGACAAGCUUUUUGAAGUUGGCCCGCUCACCAAUGAGUCCCACACAGUCAUAGAUUUGGAUUCCCUGUACCCGUCAAUUGAACAUGCACCAGCGACCCUUAUGUUGUAUAGGUUUAUACUACAGCACCUCCCAAACUCAAGCGACUGCGCAGACCUUGUCAGAGAAGUCUGU